This is a non-coding RNA of Paramuricea clavata, 73 nucleotides long. The record is from the annotation of a GenBank genome assembly. NCBI's taxonomy places the organism in Eukaryota, Metazoa, Cnidaria, Anthozoa, Malacalcyonacea, Plexauridae.
GACCGCGUAGCUCAGUUGGCAGAGCAUUGUGCUAGUAUUCCAAAGGUCGUAGGUUCGAAUCCCACCGUGGCCA